Molecule: ribosomal RNA, 441 nt
Filed under: uncultured bacterium
Lineage: Bacteria
Description: partial 16S ribosomal RNA
Rfam family: Bacterial small subunit ribosomal RNA
Source: RNAcentral
CCUACGGGAGGCAGCAGUAGGGAAUUUUGCGCAAUGGGCGUAAGCCUGACGCAGCAAAGCCGCGUGAUUGAUUAAGCCCUUCGGGGUGUAAAGAUCUGUCAGUGGGGACGAAACUUGACGGUACCCUCAGAGGAAGCACCGGUUAACUCCGUGCAAGCAGCCGCGGGAACACGGAGGGUGCAAGCGUUGUCCGGAAUCAUUGGGCGUAAAGAGUUUGUAGGUGGCAUAUUAAGUCUGGUGUUAAAUGCAGAAGCUCAACUUCUGUUCGGCAGUGGAAACUGGUAAGCUUGAAUGCGGUAGAGGUAAAGGGAAUGCCUGGUGUAGCGGUGAAAUGCGUAGAUAUCAGGAAGAACAUCGGUGGCGUAAGCGCUUUACUGGGCCGUAAUUGACACUGAGGAACGAAAGCCGGGGUAGCAAAUGGGAUUAGAUACCCUUGUAGUC